UCCUACGGGAGGCAGCAGUGAGGAAUAUUGCGCAAUGGGGGAAACCCUGACGCAGCUAACGCCGCGUGUGGGAAGAAGGCCUUCGGGUCGUAAACCACUUUGCACGGGACGAAAAAGGGAUAUCGAACAAAUAUCCCCGAUGACGGUACCGUGAGAAUAAGCCACGGCUAAUUCUGUGCCAGCAGCCGCGGUAAGACAGAGGUGGCAAGCGUUGUUCGGAAUUACUGGGCGUAAAGAGUCUGUAGGUGGUUUGUCAAGUCUUUGGUGAAAGGCCGUAGCUUAACUAUGGGAAUGCCAAAGAGACUGGCAGGCUGGAGGCUGGGAGAGGGAAGCGGAAUUUCUGGUGUAGCGGUGAAAUGCGUAGAUAUCAGAAGGAAGGCCGGUGGCGAAGGCGGCUUCCUGGAACAGUCCUGACACUGAGAGACGAAAGCGUGGGGAGCAAACAGGAUUAGAUAC
RNAcentral lists this ribosomal RNA (456 nucleotides) under uncultured bacterium. RNAcentral describes it as "bacterial SSU rRNA". It matches the Rfam family "Bacterial small subunit ribosomal RNA", at positions 337 to 785 of the family's 1533-position model. The record is from RNAcentral.